Molecule: ribosomal RNA, 253 nt
Filed under: uncultured bacterium
Lineage: Bacteria
Description: partial 16S ribosomal RNA
Rfam family: Bacterial small subunit ribosomal RNA
Source: RNAcentral
UACGUAGGGUGCAAGCGUUAAUCGGAAUUACUGGGCGUAAAGCGUGCGCAGGCGGUUUUGUAAGUCUGUCGUGAAAUCCCCGGGCUCAACCUGGGAACUGCAUCCAAAACUGCUGAGCUAGAGUACGGUAGAGGGUGGUGGAAUUUCCUGUGUAGCGGUGAAAUGCGUAGAUAUAGGAAGGAACACCAAUGGCGAAGGCAAUCCCCUGGGCCUGUACUGACGCUCAUGCACGAAAGCGUGGGGAGCAAACAGG